AGUUUAUCAGCCCUCCACAAAUACAGGAGGUAUUAGAAGCUUCGGCUGAGCAUGUUGUAGCCACUCUACAAGGAGUGCAUCCAGAUUCAAUACAGUUUUUCCUCCCUACAGCGCAAAGAUUAACCGAAGAACAAGGAACAAAUGCCCUUGCUGCUGCACUGGCUCAUUUGAGCGGCUUCUCUCAACCACCUUCAUCCCGCUCCCUCAUCAGUCAUGAGCAGGGAUGGGUAACCGUACAAUUGACGCGUGAUCCGGCAUUUUCAAGAGGGUUCCUGUCUGCUAGAUCUGUCACUGGGUUUCUUUCUGAUGUUUAUUCUACCGCUGCAGAUGAAGUUGGCAAAAUUCACUUGAUUGCUG
Molecule: unclassified non-coding RNA, 357 nt
Filed under: Hevea brasiliensis (rubber tree)
Lineage: Eukaryota; Viridiplantae; Streptophyta; Magnoliopsida; Malpighiales; Euphorbiaceae
Source: RNAcentral